This is a non-coding RNA of Chrysochloris asiatica (Cape golden mole), 351 nucleotides long. NCBI's taxonomy places the organism in Eukaryota, Metazoa, Chordata, Mammalia, Afrosoricida, Chrysochloridae. The record is from the annotation of a RefSeq genome assembly.
AUGAAGCUCACCCUCAUCUUUGUGCUUGUGAUGAUCUCCACACUUGGAGGAAUAAGAGCCCAGACAGUGACUCAGCCUGAAGACCACAUAUUUGUCUUUGAAGGGGCCACAGUGCAAAUAAAGUGCAACUACUCAUAUUCUGGGAGUCCUGUUCUCUCUUGGUAUGUUCAGUAUCCCAAGAAAAGACUCCAGUUACUUCUGAGACACACCUCAAGAGAAACCAUCAAAGGUUUCACAGCAGAUCUUGACAAGGGCAAGAUGUCUUUUCAUCUGAAGAAACCAUCAGCUGAAGAGGAAGACUCAGCCAUGUAUUACUGUGCUUUGAGUGACACAGUGACUUGUUUUGCAUAA